AGUCAGUUUUGAUGACCAGGCCUAGGAGCCACUCUCAAAUCCAAUUCUCCCUACUUUUGAACCGAUUCAGAAGACUCGGAGACCUUGAAAAUGAAAUCAAUGAGAUGUUACUGGGAAUAUUUAUAAACCACAUCCUAAUGCUGCCACAGAUAAUGAAAGAAUACUUCGCAGAGUCAAGUCAAUCCAAGAGAGGAUGAGGAAUUUAUUUUCCAUGAUUUCCUAAAUUUACAUAACUCAAACUUCCAGCUUUUGAAUCUGAGAGGCCUUCCAUUUAGCAUCUCUCCAAUCCUCUUUUGAAGAAACCCAAACUGGACAGACAGUUACUGAAUUUUUGUAAUGUCCGAGGCUUCCAGGAGGAGUGACACAUAUCUCUGCUGGAUGAGCUCACAGUUCCAAUGAGAAGAUACAAGCUGAAAGAUUGCAGCAGAACUGGGAAGUGAAAGCACGGAGAGGCUGUGGGACAUGGAGGAGGGGCGGUAAGAUUGAGAAAGAGGUAACAGUUGGGGUGACUUUGGACCUGAGACCUGGGCAGGCAUAAGAAGUCUCACUCUCUAUUCCAUUCUUGGCAGGGGAUGUUUCUUUGUACCAGGUAGCUUUGCGCUUGUUUUGUUCCAUAAAAGUAAAUCUCUGUUCACUAAGGAAUUAUGGUAGUGAAUGGUGACUCUCCGGAAUUAUAGGGCUAAUUCCAAAAUAAUCUUAGUUUUAUUCCCCCACAUUGUAAUAUUAACACUUGGGAAUUUUGUUUAUCGCGAUGUUUAAUAAUUUGGCCAGCAGAGGGCACUGCAUACUGACAGUCUCUCCACACCAGUCGCUCAAAUCCUCAAGAGUUCCCGAAGUGUUAGGCUUAACUCAGGGGUGUUUGCAAGUGCUUUGCUCUUCUGUUUCAGACAUAAACAUAUGUCAGAAAUUAAAAGAGGGUUGUGAAGCAGGAAAUUAGAUUAACAGUAGCAUAUAAUUUCCCUCUAUUUGUUAAUAAAGAGAAAAAAUAUUGGUAUGUACACCCAUGUCUACAGGGUUUUAAAUGUAGCUGUAUUAAUUAAUGUAUUAAUAAUAUGAUAACACUACUUCUUGCAUAAAUCAACAUAACUUCUAAAUUCUCUUUGAAAAUAUUUUUGGUUUUAUAUUGUGGUUUAAUUCUCAAUCAUAAACUAAAAAGUAAAAAAACCUGAUGCCUAAUGUUAUACUUUCUUUCAAACCUUAAGAUAGAUAUUAUUGUUUGAAUAGUAUCAAAAUAUUGUGGUUCUGCACAAAUGCUUUUUAUAACUUCUUACGAUGAUAUUUUAAUUUCUAUUUCCACAUAUGGAUAUGAGUAUUCGAAAACAUUUGACGCACAAUUUUCUUCUCUUCAUCUCCCCAUUAUAAAAAUGUAAAGGUGUGUUUUAAAACCCGUUUGCUCUUGGUUAAACUUGACAAUGUGGAGACCCCUUUGUUAGCUGGUCCUAUGAGUUAAUGCACAGCCUUUGUGUUUUUCAUUUAAGGAAUAAACUAAACUGGUACCAUC
Long non-coding RNA from Homo sapiens (human), 1501 nucleotides. RefSeq lists it as uncharacterized. Lineage: Eukaryota; Metazoa; Chordata; Mammalia; Primates; Hominidae. The transcript has 3 exons. The record is from RefSeq and is a predicted model, not a curated record.